CGAGAACUACUUCUUGUCGCAAAUAACAACAGUUUUUUACGACGAGGCUCAUUUCUAGUUGCAAAUGUAGAGUAUCUCCUCGUAGGAGCUGGAAUAUUUGUGCACACGUGAAAAAGGGUCUGGCGGGACUUAAUUGUAUUGGCGUUUGAAAAUUCGAAACUUCAAAAGUUUCACUAAAUUUCCUAAAUUCUCAUGAGUUGCCCCCUUCUUCAAACACUCGAAUUCAACCACUGAAACCCUCAAACUCAAACAAUGUCGGGCUGCUUCAAUCGCAUCAUUGUGCUGCUGCGUUCUCUAGUCUUCAUUGUUUCCAUGCUUAUGAUUAAACGACUCAACAACGUCAGUUAGCACUUACCAGGAAAGGAAAGGGAGAAGAAAGGAAGAAAAAAGAAGGUGAAGAAAACGGGCUAUACGAGGUUAAGGAAUGUGAAAGUGCCUGAUAAUGCUAGGUGGGUACUCUAUGGGGAUGAAGAGAGUUACGAGAGUGAGUGCUUAAAAAAUGUUCAUGUUUUGCUUAUGCUUAUUAUUUGGCUAUUGGGUGUAUGAUUUGUAAUCGAAGCUGUUAUAAGUAUACCUUGA
This is a long non-coding RNA of Beta vulgaris subsp. vulgaris (sugar beet), 579 nucleotides long. RefSeq lists it as uncharacterized. The record is from RefSeq and is a predicted model, not a curated record. The transcript has 4 exons. Lineage: Eukaryota; Viridiplantae; Streptophyta; Magnoliopsida; Caryophyllales; Amaranthaceae.